UACGUAGGGUGCUAGAGUUGUCCGGAUUUACUGGGUGUUAAGGGUGCUCAGGUGGGUUUGUAAGUCAGAGGUGAAAUCCCAAAGCUUAACUUUGGUGCUGCCUUUGAUACUGCAAGUCUGGAGUUUGAGAGAGGGUAAUGGAAUAUCUGGUGUAGCAGUGAAAUGCGUAGAUAUCAGAUAGAACACCAAUGGCGAAGGCAGUUACCUGGCUCAAUACUGACGCUAAAGCACGAAAGUGUGGGGAGCAAACAGG
RNAcentral lists this ribosomal RNA (253 nucleotides) under uncultured bacterium. RNAcentral describes it as "partial 16S ribosomal RNA". It matches the Rfam family "Bacterial small subunit ribosomal RNA", at positions 524 to 776 of the family's 1533-position model. The record is from RNAcentral.